This 253-nucleotide ribosomal RNA is filed under the name uncultured bacterium. RNAcentral's name for it is "partial 16S ribosomal RNA". It matches the Rfam family "Bacterial small subunit ribosomal RNA", at positions 524 to 776 of the family's 1533-position model. The record is from RNAcentral.
UACGAAGGGUGCAAGCGUUACUCGGAAUUACUGGGCGUAAAGCGUGCGUAGGUGGUUUGUUAAGUCCGAUGUGAAAGCCCUGGGCUCAACCUGGGAAUGGCAUUGGAAACUGGCGGGCUAGAGUGCGGUAGAGGGUAGUGGAAUUCCCGGUGUAGCAGUGAAAUGCGUAGAGAUCGGGAGGAACACCAGUGGCGAAGGCGGCUACCUGGACCAGCACUGACACUGAGGCACGAAAGCGUGGGGAGCAAACAGG